AAGGGAGACCUAAUUCGGGUAUAAGACGAAAAAAGAGUAGUCGAAGCCAAGAAUCAAUCCCAAAAGGUCGGAACGAGGUAUGUGGCUUUCAAACUAGGUUCUGGGUUCACACAAGACCUGAAUCAGGAACAAGGGCUAUUAGCUCAGGUGGUUAGAGCGCACCCCUGAUAAGGGUGAGGUCCCUGGUUCGAGUCCAGGAUGGCCCACCUGCACAGGUGGCAAAAACAAAGAAGCGAGGAAUCAGCACCUUAUCUUAUCUAUAUAUAAGAGAGAAUGCUGGCUCUGAGUAAAGAGUCCAGAGGAACCUUGAAAACUGCAUAGAGCCAGGUGAAAAAGCCAAAAAAGAAGACCGCAA
RNAcentral lists this transfer RNA (355 nucleotides) under uncultured Microcystis sp. RNAcentral's name for it is "partial 16S-23S ribosomal RNA intergenic spacer". The stretch from base 133 to 206 matches the Rfam family "tRNA". The record is from RNAcentral. Lineage: Bacteria; Bacillati; Cyanobacteriota; Cyanophyceae; Chroococcales; Microcystaceae.